This 253-nucleotide unclassified non-coding RNA is filed under the name uncultured Myxococcales bacterium. RNAcentral describes it as "contains 16S-23S intergenic spacer region". It matches the Rfam family "Bacterial small subunit ribosomal RNA", at positions 524 to 776 of the family's 1533-position model. The record is from RNAcentral. Lineage: Bacteria; Pseudomonadati; Myxococcota; Myxococcia; Myxococcales.
GACAGAGGGUGCAAGCGUUGUUCGGAAUUAUUGGGCGUAAAGCGCGCGUAGGCGGUUUGUUAAGCCGGAUGUGAAAUCCCGGGGCUCAACCCCGGAAGUGCAUUCGGAACUGGCAAGCUAGAGUCCCGGAGAGGGUAGCAGAAUUCCUGGUGUAGAGGUGAAAUUCGUAGAUAUCAGGAGGAAUACCUGUGGCGAAGGCGGCUACCUGGACGGUGACUGACGCUGAGGUGCGAAAGCGUGGGGAGCAAACAGG